GAAAGAGAAUCCCUGCAUGUCUAUGACCACUUCCUAGCCAAUCUCUCCCAAAGCAACAGAAAGAAACAUGAAGUUGUGGUUCACAUUUGUUUUCUUCCUAGCAUUCUUCGGAGGAAUACAGUCAGCAGUCCAGCUCGUGGAAUCUGGAGGAGAUGUAAAAAGGCCUGGAGAGUCCCUCCGCCUCUCCUGCCGAGCUUCCGGGUUCACCUUCACUGACUACUGGAUGCAGUGGAUAAGGCAAGCUCCAGGAAAGGGACUGGAAUGGAUCGGGGAGAUAAAUGGGAAUGGGGGAACAAAGAACUAUGCCACCUGGGCAAAGGGGCGCUUCACCAUUACCAGGGACAAUCCCUCCAAUAUGGCAUAUCUACAAAUGAACACCCUGAAGGCUGAGGACACUGCUGUGUAUUACUGUGCAAGAGGCACACAGUGA
This is a non-coding RNA of Hemicordylus capensis (graceful crag lizard), 430 nucleotides long. Lineage: Eukaryota; Metazoa; Chordata; Lepidosauria; Squamata; Cordylidae. The record is from the annotation of a RefSeq genome assembly.